RNAcentral lists this non-coding RNA (108 nucleotides) under Hydrogenophaga crassostreae. RNAcentral describes it as "TPP riboswitch aptamer (THI element)". It matches the Rfam family "TPP riboswitch aptamer (THI element)". From Rfam's summary of the family: Vitamin B(1) in its active form thiamin pyrophosphate (TPP) is an essential coenzyme that is synthesised by coupling of pyrimidine and thiazole moieties in bacteria. The record is from Rfam by way of RNAcentral. RNAcentral also lists the same sequence under 1 other name. Lineage: Bacteria; Pseudomonadati; Pseudomonadota; Betaproteobacteria; Burkholderiales; Comamonadaceae.
AAGCUUCACCGGGGGUGCUCUUUUUGCCGUUCGGCAAGAAGCGCUGAGAAAUACCCCUCUCACCUGAUCUGGGUUGUGCCAGCGUAGGGAGCGUGAUGGGUCGGCGCC